CUGGCAGCUCCUCCUUCUCGCCGGCCUUAGCAAAUGCUGCUUCUCCAAGAAAAAAAGAUUAAAAAAAAAAAGAGAAAGAAACAGAAACCGUGCAACGCCGAAAGCAAGCGGCGGGGGGGGGCCUUUUCUGUCAGGAUGCGGGAGCUGUUGCGUGGCCCCGGGGCGGCUGAGCUGCGCCGUGAGGGGAGAGCUCUGAAGAGGAACCCCGAAAGCCGGAGUCUGCCCCAGUGCCCGCCCUGCCCCGGCUGCAUCGCGCUCGUACGGCAGCCGCUGCUCGGGCCUGAGCCGUCCCUCGCUGCUAUGAGAGCAGCUCCCCCAGGUGUACAAAGCGGGGCUUAUAUGGGCCAAAAUUACCGGUUAACCGAAGGCGAAUCUUUUUUUCAAUUUCAAUUACUUCCCAUUAAACCAAAAGAAGAAGAAAGGAUUUGAAAUGAGGGGUGUGGUUGAUGGUACAGGCCCCUUUAAAGGACUACAAAGCAUCCCAGCAGGUCCAGCAGUCGCGAUGCCCGCCCAUGUUUUCAUGCACCAGGUCCUCCAUCCACACUUGAACUCUGCUAUCUUCCAAAUACUUCAUCUCAUUUCACCUCCAGUUGAAGCAGAUCCAACAGCUCAGUGAGAUGAUCCAAUACAUUGCACUACUAUGUCAGCAAACAGGAGCUGUUCAAUUCAGGAUCUAAUAAAUGGCUACUGAUUUAUCAGGCUGUUGCUCUAUGAUGAAAUCAAACUCUUGCCUAUAGGCCAUCAUUUUAGCGAAACUGUUGUGUUUUUAC
This 770-nucleotide long non-coding RNA is filed under the name Gallus gallus (chicken). The record is from RNAcentral. Lineage: Eukaryota; Metazoa; Chordata; Aves; Galliformes; Phasianidae.